CCUACGGGUGGCAGCAGUGGGGAAUUUUGCGCAAUGGACGAAAGUCUGACGCAGCAACGCCGCGUGGGUGAUGAAGGUCUUCGGACUGUAAAACCCUGUCGUCAGGGACGAAGGUUCGGGUGUGAAUAGCGCUCGGACUUGACGGUACCUGGAGAGGAAGCCCCGGCUAACUCUGUGCCAGCAGCCGCGGUAAUACAGAGGGGGCAAGCGUUAUUCGGAAUUAUUGGGCGUAAAGGGCGCGUAGGCGGUUUUUUAAGUCAGAUGUGUAAUCCCCGAGCUCAACUUGGGAACUGCAUCUGAGACUGGAAGGCUAGAGUACUGGAGAGGGUGGUGGAAUUCCUCGUGUAGCGGUGAAAUGCGUAGAGAUGAGGAGGAACACCAGUGGCGAAGGCGGCCACCUGGACAGUAACUGACGCUGAGGCGCGAAAGUGUGGGUAGCAAACAGGAUUAGAUACCCUAGUAGUC
RNAcentral lists this ribosomal RNA (465 nucleotides) under uncultured bacterium. RNAcentral's name for it is "bacterial SSU rRNA". It matches the Rfam family "Bacterial small subunit ribosomal RNA", at positions 338 to 795 of the family's 1533-position model. The record is from RNAcentral.